GAGACGUCGGCGGGGGCC
Molecule: small nuclear RNA, 18 nt
Filed under: Arabidopsis thaliana (thale cress)
Lineage: Eukaryota; Viridiplantae; Streptophyta; Magnoliopsida; Brassicales; Brassicaceae
Description: snRNA_12652
Source: RNAcentral